RNAcentral lists this ribosomal RNA (969 nucleotides) under Salmonella enterica subsp. enterica serovar Typhimurium. Its description in RNAcentral is "partial 23S ribosomal RNA". It matches the Rfam family "Bacterial large subunit ribosomal RNA", at positions 675 to 1558 of the family's 2925-position model. The record is from RNAcentral. Lineage: Bacteria; Pseudomonadati; Pseudomonadota; Gammaproteobacteria; Enterobacterales; Enterobacteriaceae.
AACCGAGUCUUAAUUGGGCGUUAAGUUGCAGGGUAUAGACCCGAAACCCGGUGAUCUAGCCAUGGGCAGGUUGAAGGUUGGGUAACACUAACUGGAGGACCGAACCGACUAAUGUUGAAAAAUUAGCGGAUGACCUGUGGCUGGGGGUGAAAGGCCAAUCAAACCGGGAGAUAGCUGGUUCUCCCCGAAAGCUAUUUAGGUAGCGCCUCGUGAAUUCAUCUCCGGGGGUAGAGCACUGUUUCGGCUAGGGGGCCAUCCCGGCUUACCAACCCGAUGCAAACUGCGAAUACCGGAGAAUGUUAUCACGGGAGACACACGGCGGGUGCUAACGUCCGUCGUGAAGAGGGAAACAACCCAGACCGCCAGCUAAGGUCCCAAAGUCAUGGUUAAGUGGGAAACGAUGUGGGAAGGCCCAGACAGCCAGGAUGUUGGCUUAGAAGCAGCCAUCAUUUAAAGAAAGCGUAAUAGCUCACUGGUCGAGUCGGCCUGCGCGGAAGAUGUAACGGGGCUAAACCAUGCACCGAAGCUGCGGCAGCGAACGUAUCACCCAAGACAACUUUACGGAGUUGACGAUUGACGGAGCGAAGCGACGUCAAAGCGUUCAUUAAAGUCGAGUUGGCUUAGGGAUACGUUCGUUGGGUAGGGGAGCGUUCUGUAAGCCUGUGAAGGUGUGUCGUGAGGCAUGCUGGAGGUAUCAGAAGUGCGAAUGCUGACAUAAGUAACGAUAAAGCGGGUGAAAAGCCCGCUCGCCGGAAGACCAAGGGUUCCUGUCCAACGUUAAUCGGGGCAGGGUGAGUCGACCCCUAAGGCGAGGCCGAAAGGCGUAGUCGAUGGGAAACGGGUUAAUAUUCCCGUACUUGGUGUUACUGCGAAGGGGGGACGGAGAAGGCUAUGUUGGCCGGGCGACGGUUGUCCCGGUUUAAGCGUGUAGGUGUGUGUUCCAGGUAAAUCCGGUUCACUUUAACACUG